GAUAAACGCUGGCGGCGUGCAUGAGACAUGCAAGUCGAACGGACGACCUCGGGCUUGCCCCGGGGAAGUUAGUGGCGGACGGCUGAGUAACGCGUGGGUGACCUGCCCGGAAGUGGGGAAUAACUGCCCGAAAGGGUGGCUAAUACCGCAUGUGGUCACACGUUCAUUCGUGUGAUCAAAGCAGCGAUGCGCUUCCGGAGGGGCCUGCGUUCGAUUAGCUCGUUGGUGAGGUAACGGCUCACCAAGGCGACGAUCGAUAGGUGGUCUGAGAGGACGAUCACCCAGACUGGGACUGAGACACGGCCCAGACUCCUACGGGAGGCAGCAGUCGGGAAUUUUGCUCAAUGGGCGCAAGCCUGAAGCAGCAACGCCGCGUGAGGGAUGAAGGCCUUCGGGUUGUAAACCUUUUUUCUCAGGGAAGAUAAUGACGGUACCUGAGGAAUAAGCCACGGCUAACUACGUG
This 463-nucleotide ribosomal RNA is filed under the name uncultured bacterium. RNAcentral describes it as "bacterial SSU rRNA". It matches the Rfam family "Bacterial small subunit ribosomal RNA", at positions 28 to 507 of the family's 1533-position model. The record is from RNAcentral.